AGAAGUCCAAAAUCAAAAUGUCUACAGGGCUUUGCUCCCACUGAAAACUGUAGAGGAAUGUUUUCCUGUUUCCUCUUAGCUUCUGGUGAUUUUCUGGCAAUUUCUGGUGUUCCUGUGCUUGUAGAUGCAUCAUUCCAGUCAGAUGGUCCCCUUCUCCUGAUGCGUCUUCACAUUGUCUUCCCUCUACCUGCCUCUGUGCCCACAUUUCCCUUUUUAUAAGGACACAAAUCAUAUUGGAGUAGAUCCUACCUUAAGGACCUCAUUUUAUCUUGAUUAACUUUAUGAAGAUUUUAUUUGCAAGUAAGCUUACAUUCUGAGGUAUGAGGGUUAGGAUUUCAACGUAUUUUGGGGGGAGCCAAAAUUCAACCCAUAAGAGAGGCCUACCCUCCCACCCCUAGCUAACUUUAUGUUAUUUUUUUCUUAAAUAGAAUUCACUACUUUGAUCAAUAACUAAAACAUGAGAAACUAAGUAUCUUUAAUUUAGAGUGGGCCAAGAAAUGUGUAGAUCUGGAGUCACUGAGAAAGAUACAGUACAGUAGGGAUAUUUAAAAAGAAAAAAAAGGAGCCCUGGUGCUCUGUUCUUUUAGGUUUAACAGUGGGAGAAAGCAUGGACUUUUGAGUAGGCCAGUUCUAAAAUUUGAAUCUUGACCUGUCACUUAUUGGUUCUGGAUCUGGGGGGCAACCUACUUGCUUCUGCUAAACUUGUUUCCUCAUAAGAAGAAUGAGCAUAAUGACACUUGGUAAAUAAAGGAUGGUUGAGGAAAUCAAUAAGGCUUCCAAAGCAUCUGGCACGUAUCAAUAGUAGACAUUGAGUAUAUGGAUCAUGAGUUUUGUAAAGUCUGUAUUCUGAAUAUCCCAGCAGAACUGUCAGUGGCACCCAGCCAGGUCAUCCAGUGGACCCCCCAGGGCUGCCAGAUCAGCUUGCAUUUCCUUAUAAUUAUGAACUAUCAGAACUGCGUGUGACUUCAAAAAGCAAUGUUUAUGAUUCUGGUCUACGUGUGCCAGCACUGAACUAAAUGAAGAAAAUGAAACAUUAACUGUGGAAUUUGGUCUAAUGAGGGAAACAGAUGAGGACAGGUCAUUACAAUGCUGGAUGUAGCUCUUCAGAAACUUUGUGUGAAGAGUAUAUGGAGUAUUACACUUCCGUGAGACCCAUGCCUGCUGCCCGGGGGGGAAGAGUUUUGGAUGCCAGGAAAUGGAAGUAGUCAUACUGAUGCUACCAUGAACAAGGCUCUGUGUGUUUGGAGGUCCUUGAUCCCAGAAGGAGAAUGGUUUCACUAGGAGACAAAAUAAAAACCCUAUUGAACUUUAAGUUAUUAUGGCUGCCUGGUCAUUUCAGCUCCCUCAUAUCAACAGACAAGAAGGCAAGGAAAGAAGAUAUGUCAAGAGAUUUUGAAGACAAUUUUUUGGUGUGAAAUCAAAAGCUUGAAGGAGUUCACCUGGAAUUUACAGACUGGCUAUCUGGUCCAGCUUCUUCUCUUCAGAGAUGGAAGUGGUAUUUUGUACUGAUUACAAACAGAGUGCUGGAUUUGGGAGAUGGGAGGAAAACAGACUCCUCAUAUUGACUCUGUGAUUUACUAGCUUUGUGAACUUGGGUGAAUUACCUAACUUUCCUAAGCUUCAUUUUCCACAUCUGCAAAACAGCAAUGAAGGGGUUGUUGUGAGA
This is a non-coding RNA of Delphinapterus leucas (beluga whale), 1666 nucleotides long. The record is from RefSeq and is a predicted model, not a curated record. NCBI's taxonomy places the organism in Eukaryota, Metazoa, Chordata, Mammalia, Artiodactyla, Monodontidae.